CCUACGGGUGGCAGCAGUGAGGAAUAUUGGUCAAUGGGCGCGAGCCUGAACCAGCCAAGUCGCGUGAAGGAUGACUGCCCUACGGGUUGUAACCUUCUUUUAUAAAGAAAUAAAUUGAGGCAUGUGUGCCUUAUUGUAUGUACUUUAUGAAUAAGGAUCGGCUAACUCCGUGCCAGCAGCCCCGGUAAUACGGAGGUUCCGAGCGUUAUCCGGAUUUAUUGGGUUUAAAGGAAGCGUAGAUGGGUUGAUAGGUCAGUUGUGAAAGUUUGCGGCUCAACCGUAAAAUUGCAAUUGAUACUGGCAGUCUUGAGUACAGUUGAGGUAGGCGGAAUUCGUGGUGUAGCGGUGAAAUGCUUAGAUAUCACGAAGAACUCCGAUUGCGAAGGCAGCUUACUAAACUGCCACUGACAUUGAUGCUCGAAAGUGUGGGGAUCAAACAGGAUUAGAUACCCGAGUAGUC
This 460-nucleotide ribosomal RNA is filed under the name uncultured bacterium. RNAcentral's name for it is "partial 16S ribosomal RNA". It matches the Rfam family "Bacterial small subunit ribosomal RNA", at positions 338 to 795 of the family's 1533-position model. The record is from RNAcentral.